CCUACGGGUGGCUGCAGUGGGGAAUAUUGGACAAUGGGCGCAAGCCUGAUCCAGCCAUGCCGCGUGUGUGAAGAAGGCCUUCGGGUUGUAAAGCACUUUCAGUGGGGAAGAAAGCCUUGGGGCUAAUACCCUCGAGGAAGGACAUCACCCACAGAAGAAGCACCGGCUAACUCCGUGCCAGCAGCCGCGGUAAUACGGAGGGUGCGAGCGUUAAUCGGAAUUACUGGGCGUAAAGCGCGCGUAGGCGGUCUGAUAAGCCGGUUGUGAAAGCCCCGGGCUCAACCUGGGAACGGCAUCCGGAACUGUCAGGCUAGAGUGCAGGAGAGGAAGGUAGAAUUCCCGGUGUAGCGGUGAAAUGCGUAGAGAUCGGGAGGAAUACCAGUGGCGAAGGCGGCCUUCUGGACUGACACUGACGCUGAGGUGCGAAAGCGUGGGUAGCAAACAGGAUUAGAUACCCGGGUAGUC
Molecule: ribosomal RNA, 465 nt
Filed under: Vreelandella stevensii
Lineage: Bacteria; Pseudomonadati; Pseudomonadota; Gammaproteobacteria; Oceanospirillales; Halomonadaceae
Description: partial 16S ribosomal RNA
Rfam family: Bacterial small subunit ribosomal RNA
Source: RNAcentral